AGGAUUAUAGUUUAAUAAAAAAAACUUUUAAAUUGCAAUUAAAAAUUAUUGAAAAAUCAAUUUAUCUUA
Molecule: transfer RNA, 69 nt
Filed under: Stenus clavicornis
Lineage: Eukaryota; Metazoa; Arthropoda; Insecta; Coleoptera; Staphylinidae
Description: tRNA-Ala
Source: RNAcentral